RNAcentral lists this ribosomal RNA (3732 nucleotides) under Triticum aestivum (bread wheat). RNAcentral's name for it is "partial small subunit ribosomal RNA". Lineage: Eukaryota; Viridiplantae; Streptophyta; Magnoliopsida; Poales; Poaceae. The record is from RNAcentral.
AUGGAAGUUGCAUUAGCUAGCGCUGCCGUAAGUGUUAGCUUAAAAGUGGCCGCAUCUCCAGCCUUGAAGAAGCUGCUUGCUAAUGCUUCAAAGUACCUUGGAGUGGACAUGGUGCGUGAGCUCCAUGAACUGGAGACCACUAUCAUGCCGCAACUCGAGCUGGUGAUUGAAGCAGCGAACAAGGGAAACCACAGGCCCAAGUUGGACAAAUGGCUUCAGGAACUCAAAGAAGGCUUCUACAUGGCUGAAGACUUGCUGGACAAGCAUGAAUACAACCUUCUCAAGCUCGAAGCAAAGGGCAAGGAUUCCUUAUCGGCCAAUGCUUCCUCCAUCAGCAGCACUUUUAUGAAGCCUGUGCGUGCUGCAUCGAGCAGGCUGUCCAAUUUGAGCUCUGAGAACAGAAAGCUAAUUCACCAGCUGAAUGAACUCAAGGCUACCCUGGCGAAAGCCAAGGAAUUUUGUGAGGUGCUCUGCUUGCCAACUGGUUAUAAUGCAGAGAGCCCCGCCAUACCAUCAGCUGAUGUUCCUGAGACCACAUCAAUAUCACCUCUGAAAGUGAUUGGUCGUGACAAGGACCGCGAUCGCAUAAUAGAUAGACUCACCAAGACCACUGCUACUACUGAGUCUAGUACAGCCAUUUACUCGGGUUUGGCCAUUGUUGGAGCUGGAGGCAUGGGAAAGUCCACCUUGGCACAACUUGUUUACAAUGAUACAAGGGUAAAAGAUUAUUUUGAUGUCAGAAUGUGGGUAUGUAUCUCACGCAAACUUGAUGUCCGUCGUCACACACGCGAGAUCAUCGAGUCUGCCUCUCAGCGGGAAUGCCCACGCAUUGAUAACCUUGAUACUCUACAACGUAUCUUGUCAGACAUACUGCAAGAAUCAGGGAAAUUCCUGCUUGUGUUGGAUGAUGUAUGGUUUGAACCUGGCAGCGAGAGGGAAUGGGACCAGCUGCUAGCUCCUCUAGUCUCCCAACAUAUAGGAAGCAAAGUUUUAGUAACUUCUCGACGGAAUACAUUUCCAACUGCUCUUUACUGUGCCGAAGUGUGUCCCUUGAAAAACAUGAAAGAUUCUCACUUCUUGGCACUCUUCAAACACCAUGCUUUCUCUGGACCAGAAAUCAGAAAUCAUGCAAAACACGGAAGAUUGCGUGAAAAGCUGGAAAACUUUGCAGAGAAGAUUGCUAAAAGGCUUGGACAAUCUCCUUUGGCGGCCAAAGUUGUGGGUUCCCAGUUGAAAGGGAAAACCGAUAUAUCUACAUGGAAGGAUGCUCUAACUUUAAUGAUUGACAAAUUAAGUGAACCUAUGACAGCACUGUUGUGGAGUUAUGAGAAGUUAGAUCCAUGUCUACAGAGGUGCUUCCUAUAUUGCAGCUUGUUUCCAAAAGGCCACAAGUAUGUCAUUGAUGAGUUGGUUCAUCUUUGGAUGGCAGAGGGCCUUCUUGAUUCGUGCGAUCGAAACAAGAGAGUUGAAGAUGUUGGGAGGGAUUGCUUCAAGGAGAUGAUCUCUGUUUCAUUUUUUCAACCUGGCAAAGAUCGCAAAUACUAUGUUAUGCAUGAUUUCCUUCAUGAUCUGGCAGAAUCACUCUCCAAAGAAGACUACUUCAGGUUGGACGAUGAUAAGAUACUACAGAAUUUGAAGAAGUUGCGCGUAUUAUUUUUGUCAUCUUACAGUAGUAGCAAGUUGCCAGAAUCUGUUGGUGAGUUGAAGCACCUUCGGUAUUUAAACAUCAUCAGAACACUGAUUUCAGAAUUGCCAAGAUCAUUGUGUACUCUUUACCACUUGCAGUUACUCCUGAUAAAUGAUAAAGUUGUGAGUUUGCCUGAGAAACUCUGUAAUUUAAGGAAGUUACGGCAUCUUGACUGGCAUGAUUAUAGAAUGUGCGAUCCAGGGAGAAAAGCACUGCCUCAAAUUCCUAACAUUGGCAAGCUAACUUCACUUCAACAGUUUCAGAAACUUUCUGUGCAAAAGAAAAUGGGAUAUGAAUUGCAACAGCUGAGGGAUAUGAACGAGAUUCGUGGCAGUUUAAGUGUAACAAAUCUUGAGAAUGUCACUGGGAAGGAUCAAGCCUUAGAAUCGAAGCUGAAUCAGAAAAUUCAUCUUGGCAGCUUGCGACUUGGAUGGUGUUGCAAGAAUAACACCAAUGGAGAGGAUAGUUCACAUUUGGAGAUUAUAGAAGGCCUGAUGCCGCCACCUCAACUUAAGAAUCUUACAAUUGACGGUUACAAUUCUUCAAAAUAUCCAGGUUGGUUACUUGAUGGUUCGUAUUUUGAGAAUUUAGAAUCUUUGAGGUUCGAAAAUUGCAGCGCGUUACAAGGCCUACCAUCCAACACUGAGCUAUUUGGGAAUUGCUCUUCACUUGCCCUCUUCAAUGUGCCAAACCUGAAGACAUUACCUUGUCUUCCACUGGGCCUUACAUGGUUAGGAAUAUCCAAUUGCCCACUGCUUAUAUUUGUUUCCAAUGAUGAGCGAGAAUAUCAAGAACAUCAAGAACAGAGCGAGAAUAUCAUGAGUAUAGACCACUUGGCGUCACAACUUGGUUUACUCUGGGAGGUGGAUUCAGGAUCAGAUAUUAGGAGAAUACUCUCAUCGGAACAUUCAUUUCUGAAGCAGCUGAUGAUAUUGAUGCAUGCUGAUGUCUCACGUGUUCAUAACCUUGGAAGUGUCCUUGGAAGAAAGAAAAAGAAAGUGGUUAAAGAGGAUAUCAUCAACGCAUGGAUACACUGUCACGAGCAGAUGAUGAGUCUCGUGCAUGGAAGGAGCAUUAGGCUGCCACUGGUUCCACCAUCGGGACUUCGUGGGCUUUCUCUUUCUUCAUGCAGUAUUACAAAUGAAGCUCUAGCUGUUUGCCUUGAUGGCCUGACUUCACUGAAAAGUUUAUCCUUACACAAAAUUAUGACUUUAACCACACUUCCUUCAGAAGAGGUCCUCCAACAUUUGACAAAACUUCACCGCUUGGGCAUUGUAAGUUGCUGGUGUCUCAGGUCAUUAGGAGGUUUACGAGCUGCUACCUCUCUUUCAGAUGUUCACUUGAGUUCUUGCCCUUCUUUGGAGUUGUCACAUGGAGCAAAAUGUUUACCAUUGUCCCUUGAGAGCCUCACUAUACAUUAUUGCGUGCUUCAAGCUAACUUCUUCUGUACUGACUGGCCACACGUGAAUCGUAUUUCCAUAUACAACUGCAGAAGCAGCGCAUGCUUAUCUGUUGGUAGUCUCAUAUCUGUUAAAUCACUCUCACUGAAUGGCUUGCCAGAUUUAUGUAUGCUCGAAGGAUUAUCUUCCCUGCAACUUCACCACGUACAUUUCACUAGUCUCCCAAAACUCUAUCCCAACUGUAUCUCACAGUUUCGAGUCCAGAAGUCACUGUAUGUUGACAGUCUUGUAUUACUCAAGAACAUGCUCUCAGAUGAAGGUUUCACAGUUCCAGCAUUUCUCUGUCUUGAAGGAUGCAAUGAACCAUUCGUUUUCGAAGAAUCCGCAAAUUUCACAUCAGUCAAGACCCUGAGAUUCUAUGAUUGUCAAAUGACUUCCCUGCCAACAAAUCUGAUGUGCUUCUCCAAUCUGAAGAAGCUCGACCUCUAUAGCUGCUUCAAGAUAUCAUCUUUACCAGAUCUGCCAUCCUCCGUCGAGCACAUAUGUGUAUGGGGUUGUAAGCUAUUGAAGGAGAGCUGCCGAGCACCUGAUGGAGAAAGUUGGCCAAAGAUCGCGCAUAUCCGCUGGAAGGAAUUUAGAGUGUGA